RNAcentral lists this ribosomal RNA (540 nucleotides) under uncultured bacterium. Its description in RNAcentral is "bacterial SSU rRNA". It matches the Rfam family "Bacterial small subunit ribosomal RNA", at positions 777 to 1314 of the family's 1533-position model. The record is from RNAcentral.
AAUAGAUACCCUGGUAGUCCACGCCGUAAACGAUGAGUGCUAAGUGUUAGAGGGCUUCCACCCUUUAGUGCUGCAGCUAACGCAUUAAGCACUCCGCCUGGGGAGUACGGCCGCAAGGCUGAAACUCAAAGGAAUUGACGGGGGCCCGCACAAGCGGUGGAGCAUGUGGUUUAAUUCGAAGCAACGCGAAGAACCUUACCAGGUCUUGACAUCCUUCGCUACCUCUAGAGAUAGAGGGUUCCCCUUCGGGGGACGGAGUGACAGGUGGUGCAUGGUUGUCGUCAGCUCGUGUCGUGAGAUGUUGGGUUAAGUCCCGCAACGAGCGCAACCCUUGACCUUAGUUGCCAGCAUUCAGUUGGGCACUCUAAGGUGACUGCCGGUGACAAACCGGAGGAAGGUGGGGAUGACGUCAAAUCAUCAUGCCCCUUAUGACCUGGGCUACACACGUGCUACAAUGGAUGGUACAAAGGGUCGCGAAACCGCGAGGUGGAGCUAAUCCCAAAAAACCAUUCUCAGUUCGGAUUGCAGGCUGCAACUCCG